GAUGAACGCUGGCGGCGUGCUUAACACAUGCAAGUCGAACGAUUAAAGCCCCUUCGGGGGUGUAUAGAGUGGCGAACGGGUGAGUAACACGUGGGCAAUCUGCCCCUCACUUCGGGAUAACUCAGGGAAACUUGAGCUAAUACCGGAUACUCCGAACUGAUCGCAUGGUCGGUCCGGGAAAGCUCCGACGGUGAGGGAUGAGCCCGCGGCCCAUUAGCUAUUUGGUAGGGUAAUGGCCUACCAAGGCGACGAUGGGUAGCCGCGCUGAGAGGCGGAUCGGCCACACUGGGACUGAGACACGGACCAGACUCCUACGGGAGGCAGCAGUGGGGAAUUUUGCGCAAUGGGCGAAAGCCUGACGCAGCAACGCCGCGUGCGGGAUGAAGGCUCUCGGGUCGUAAACCGCUUUCAGCAGGGAUGAAAUUGACAGUACCUGCAGAAGAAGCCCCGGCUAAAUACGUGCCAGCCGCCGCGGUAAUAC
RNAcentral lists this ribosomal RNA (481 nucleotides) under uncultured bacterium. Its description in RNAcentral is "bacterial SSU rRNA". It matches the Rfam family "Bacterial small subunit ribosomal RNA", at positions 28 to 526 of the family's 1533-position model. The record is from RNAcentral.